RNAcentral lists this transfer RNA (68 nucleotides) under Remora brachyptera (spearfish remora). RNAcentral's name for it is "tRNA-Asp". It matches the Rfam family "tRNA". From Rfam's summary of the family: Transfer RNA (tRNA) molecules are approximately 80 nucleotides in length. Their secondary structure includes four short double-helical elements and three loops (D, anti-codon, and T loops). The record is from RNAcentral. Lineage: Eukaryota; Metazoa; Chordata; Actinopteri; Carangiformes; Echeneidae.
AAGAUGUUAGUAAAAUAUUACACUGCCUUGUCAAGGCAUAAUUGCGGGUUAAAAUCCCGUACAUCUUG